UACGGAGGAUCCAAGCGUUAUCCGGAUUUAUUGGGUUUAAAGGGUGCGUAGGCGGCCUGUUAAGUCAGGGGUGAAAGACGGUAGCUCAACUAUCACAGUGCCCUUGAUACUGAUGGGCUUGAAUGGACUAGAGGUAGGCGGAAUGAGACAAGUAGCGGUGAAAUGCAUAGAUAUGUCUCAGAACACCGAUUGCGAAGGCAGCUUACUAUGGUUUAAUUGACGCUGAGGCACGAAAGCGUGGGGAUCAAACAGG
This 253-nucleotide ribosomal RNA is filed under the name uncultured bacterium. Its description in RNAcentral is "partial 16S ribosomal RNA". It matches the Rfam family "Bacterial small subunit ribosomal RNA", at positions 524 to 776 of the family's 1533-position model. The record is from RNAcentral.